Molecule: long non-coding RNA, 959 nt
Organism: Pleuronectes platessa (European plaice)
Lineage: Eukaryota; Metazoa; Chordata; Actinopteri; Pleuronectiformes; Pleuronectidae
Exons: 3
Source: RefSeq, a predicted model, not a curated record
UUCACAACAAAAAAAUUGCCGGGAAAUCUUCUCCGUGAAACCAUAUCAAGCAGCCAAUGGACUUUUUAUUUCAUUUGAGUAAAUAGUGCGUUUGUCUUGAGACUUGUGUAGAACCACAGUGUGUCUCAACGUGGGUUUAACAUGGACGAAUAUGACGAACUGUUCGAGAUCCAGGAUGAGUUCGAGGACCAGUUCGCAGACGAGCUGGAGGUUCUGGCUCAGAUGGACUGCCCCAACACACUUAAACUUUAUUUCUCAUUAACUCGUUUUAGCUUCUUUGUGCACAUCCUCAGCAGUUAACAAUCAAUACACAACUGAGCAGCUGUUCUUCUUAGGUGGACUUUGAGCUGGAGUCUCUGAUGGAGAGGAAGGAGGAGGAGCGGGAGGAGCUGAUGGACUGGUGGAAGAUGAUGUCAGAGACACUGAACUUCUGAAGCGCUCGUCUGCUUCGCGAUUGGACCGUUCACACGUCGAGUGGUGACCGGGUUUCAGCCUUUCUCAGCUUGGCCAUGUCUCUGAGCACUGAGCACCUUGUACUUUUGGCCACUCCAGGUUGGUUCCAGUUCUGGAAUAUGACAGCACUGGAGGAUAAUGGGUUACUGGUAGCUUGACGUUUAAUUCUUCUCAAAUCUUUGGCAGUUAAUUUGUGUCUUUUUUUCUCAACACAUUUCGUGUGACCCUGUUGACUAUUUGCAACAAACAAUUGAUGGUUCUGUGAUCACGCCCCGAUAUCUUAACAAUUUCAAGAGUGCUGCAUCCCUCUGAAAGACUUUAGCGUUUUGCCUGAGGAAAAGAAGCUGCCUAAUAAUUAUGCACACCUUGAUAUAGGGUGUUGAUCUCCUUAGGCCACACACUCCCUCAUUUCACAAAUACACACCACCUCAUAUACUUAAAUCCAAUAGGCCUUCAAGUUUAUACAGCUUGGAGUUGGAAAAUAUUUAUACAAAUUAUAAAAUAGU